Molecule: ribosomal RNA, 590 nt
Filed under: uncultured bacterium
Lineage: Bacteria
Description: partial 16S ribosomal RNA
Rfam family: Bacterial small subunit ribosomal RNA
Source: RNAcentral
UGGGGAAUUUUGGACAAUGGGCGAAAGCCUGAUCCAGCAAUGCCGCGUGUGUGAAGAAGGCCUUCGGGUUGUAAAGCACUUUUGUCCGGAAAGAAAUCCUUGGCUCUAAUACAGUCGGGGGAUGACGGUACCGGAAGAAUAAGCACCGGCUAACUACGUGCCAGCAGCCGCGGUAAUACGUAGGGUGCAAGCGUUAAUCGGAAUUACUGGGCGUAAAGCGUGCGCAGGCGGUUUGCUAAGACCGAUGUGAAAUCCCCGGGCUCAACCUGGGAACUGCAUUGGUGACUGGCAGGCUAGAGUAUGGCAGAGGGGGGUAGAAUUCCACGUGUAGCAGUGAAAUGCGUAGAGAUGUGGAGGAAUACCGAUGGCGAAGGCAGCCCCCUGGGCCAAUACUGACGCUCAUGCACGAAAAGCGUGGGGAGCAAAACAGGAUUAGAUACCCUGGUAGUCCACGCCCUAAAACGAUGUCAACUAGUUGUUGGGGAUUCAUUUCCUUAGUAACGUAGCUAACGCGUGAAGUUGACCGCCUGGGGAGUACGGUCGCAAGAUUAAAAACUUCAAAGGAAUUGACGGGGUCAUAGCUGUUUCCU